GACGAACGCUGGCGGCGUGCUUAACACAUGCAAGUCGAACGGAAAGGCCCUGCUUUUGUGGGGUGCUCGAGUGGCGAACGGGGGAGUAACACGUGAGUAACCUGCCCUUGACUUUGGGAUAACUCCAGGAAACUGGGGCGAAUACCGGAUAGGAGCUCCUGCUGCAUGGUGGGGGUUGGAAAGUUUCGGCGGUUGGGGAUGGACUGGCGGCUUAUCAGCUUGUUGGUGGGGUAGUGGCUUACCAAGGGUUUGACGGGUAGCCGGCCUGAGAGGGUGACCGGCCACAUUGGGACUGAGGUACGGACCAGACUCCUACGGGAGGCAGCAGUGGGGAAUAUUGCAGAAUGGGCGGAAGUCUGAUGCAGCAACGCCGCGUGCGGGAUGACGGCUUUCGGGUGGUAAACCGCUUUCGCCUGUGACGAAGCGUGAGUGACGGUAAUGGGUAAAGAAGCACCGGCUAACUACGUG
Molecule: ribosomal RNA, 468 nt
Filed under: uncultured bacterium
Lineage: Bacteria
Description: partial 16S ribosomal RNA
Rfam family: Bacterial small subunit ribosomal RNA
Source: RNAcentral